GAAUUGCGAUAAGUAAUGUGAAUUGCAGAUUUCCAGUGAAUCAUCGAAUCUUUGAACGCACCUUGCGCUCCUUGGUAUUCCGAGGAGCAUGCCUGUUUGAGUGUCAUGUAACUAUCAACCAUGUCUCGAUUGACUUUUGAGCACAUGGCUUGGAUGUGGGGGUUGCUGGCUGCGAAAGCGGUCAGCUCUCCUUAAACGCAUUAGCAAAGGGGUGUGCUAUGGUCUUCUGGACGUGCACGGCCUUUGACGUGAUAAUGAUCGUCGUGGCUGGAGCGUCCGUCAUAGACCAUGCAUAGACAAGCCUCGAUUUGCUUCUAAUUCCAAGAUCCUCUAAUCUCAGUGGUGGUCGGGAGGUCUUGCUAGCUAUUAGUCUACUAGCCUACUAGCCUACUAGUCCGUGUGCAUGCAUAUGGACGAACGGCGAACAGUGAACGGCGAACGUUGACAAGGCUGACGACGACAAAGCUAGACUUGGGGAUCGUAUUCAUUGACUCGACCUCAAAUCA
Molecule: ribosomal RNA, 506 nt
Filed under: Boletaceae sp. 163-448
Lineage: Eukaryota; Fungi; Basidiomycota; Agaricomycetes; Boletales
Description: eukaryotic LSU rRNA
Rfam family: 5.8S ribosomal RNA (bases 1-106)
Source: RNAcentral